Non-coding RNA from Benincasa hispida (wax gourd), 1037 nucleotides. The record is from RefSeq and is a predicted model, not a curated record. Lineage: Eukaryota; Viridiplantae; Streptophyta; Magnoliopsida; Cucurbitales; Cucurbitaceae.
ACUCUCCCAAAAAGUUUUCCUCCUCGCCCUCUUUCAAUAGUUGGAUAUCACCUAUCCUUCUAUUGAAAUCUUUGAGAAUAACAAGGUACUCUCGUGAUCGUGUUCAAGAUUGUUCGAGGAAACGUUCGUAUUCAAGAUCGUUGGAGGAGUCGUUCAUUGGAACAUCGAGAGGAUCAUUUAGAAGCUUUGAAAAUCUACAAAGGAGUCAUGGAUCGAAUUGAUCAAUAUGGCAGCUUCCUUUCAGUUCCUAAUUAUUCUCUAGACUGAUUAAAGCUAUUUGUAUUAUUCUCUAGACUGAUUAAAGCUAUUUAGAUAGUAGCUUCUGCCAUAUAUCGAAGGCUGAGGGUUCAUCGAUUACCUGUCUGAAAACAUUAUCUUAGAUGUUAAGAACCAGUGUUGUAGUGGUUGUUUCGUCCAUGAAUUGCUUCUCCUCAGUAGUAAUUGAGUCAGGCUCUUUUCUUGAAUCUCCUUUACAGGCUCUGAUACCACUUGAUAUUACAAAGUGGUGAUGAGUGUUGUAUUUCAGAGGCUUUUACCACAUGGUGGUCUAUCUGAAUCAUGCAUGAAGUAUCGCUUUCUCUCCCUUACUUUACUUUCCUCUUCUUGCAUGCAUUUUCCGAGAGAGUGAAAACGAUUUCAAAGAAAGCUUUAGGGGAUCGUUCAAGAACAGCUUACACAUAUGAAAUGGAGAAGAAGAAUAUGAUAGUCAAGGUGAGAAGAACCGAAUCAACAGCAAGGUUCGGCCUUUCUUGCCUACAUCCACUCUGAAAAUAGCUAGGGAAGAGGUUGAAGAAUCCAUGUAUGUUGAAUACAAGAUAACCCCUCUCUCUUCUCUCUUUUCAUUUUGUUCUUCUAUUCUAUCUGCUUCAAAAAUUAGCUAUCAUACUGGCUUCUUAUCUUACAAAGUGGUGAUGAGUGCGUAUGCGAGAAACAUACCUAAGAGGGAGUUACAUAAAAACUUGUCAUUUAUGUGCUAAGAGCAAUGGAAAGAGACAUCAUAGUUGACAAAUAACACCAGGAAUGUUUGUGACACUGAG